RNAcentral lists this small nucleolar RNA (89 nucleotides) under Anopheles maculatus. RNAcentral's name for it is "small nucleolar RNA snR60/Z15/Z230/Z193/J17". It matches the Rfam family "Small nucleolar RNA snR60/Z15/Z230/Z193/J17". From Rfam's summary of the family: The members of this family belong to the C/D class of snoRNAs which contain the C (UGAUGA) and D (CUGA) box motifs. Most of the members of the box C/D family function in directing site-specific 2'-O-methylation of substrate RNAs. The record is from RNAcentral. Lineage: Eukaryota; Metazoa; Arthropoda; Insecta; Diptera; Culicidae.
AAUUAUUACUUGAUGACGCAUAGUUCAUAUGAUCAAAACCAUGAUAACUAUACUAUGUGGAUUUCUUUCGCCCCUAUCUGAUAACACGU